RNAcentral lists this non-coding RNA (28 nucleotides) under Rattus norvegicus (Norway rat). Lineage: Eukaryota; Metazoa; Chordata; Mammalia; Rodentia; Muridae. The record is from RNAcentral.
UGCGUUCUAGUGGACCUGGGUUCGACUC